UACGGAGGGUGCAAGCGUUAAUCGGAAUUACUGGGCGUAAAGCGCGCGUAGGCGGUUUGAUCAGUUGGGUGUGAAAGCCCCGGGCUCAACCUGGGAACUGCAUCCAAUACUGUCAGGCUAGAGUACGAGAGAGGGGGGUAGAAUUCCUAGUGUAGCGGUGAAAUGCGUAGAUAUUAGGAGGAAUACCAGUGGCGAAGGCGGCCCCCUGGCUCGAUACUGACGCUGAGGUGCGAAAGCGUGGGGAGCAAACAGG
Molecule: ribosomal RNA, 253 nt
Filed under: uncultured bacterium
Lineage: Bacteria
Description: partial 16S ribosomal RNA
Rfam family: Bacterial small subunit ribosomal RNA
Source: RNAcentral